RNAcentral lists this ribosomal RNA (480 nucleotides) under uncultured bacterium. RNAcentral's name for it is "partial 16S ribosomal RNA". It matches the Rfam family "Bacterial small subunit ribosomal RNA", at positions 28 to 523 of the family's 1533-position model. The record is from RNAcentral.
GACGAACGCUGGCGGCGUGCCUAACACAUGCAAGUCGAGCGAAUGAAGUUCCUUCGGGAAUGGAUUUAGCGGCGGACGGGUGAGUAACACGUGGGCAACCUGCCUCAUAGAGGGGAAUAGCCUUCCGAAAGGGAGAUUAAUACCGCAUAAGAUUGUAGUACCGCAUGAUACAGCAAUUAAAGGAGCAAUCCGCUAUGAGAUGGGCCCGCGGCGCAUUAGCUAGUUGGUGAGGUAACGGCUCACCAAGGCGACGAUGCGUAGCCGACCUGAGAGGGUGAUCGGCCACAUUGGGACUGAGACACGGCCCAGACUCCUACGGGAGGCAGCAGUGUGGAAUAUUGCACGAUGGGGGAAACCCUGAUGCAGCAACGCCGCGUGAGUGAUGACGGCCUUCGGGUUGUAAAGCUCUGUCUUCAGGGACGAUAAUGACGGUACCUGAGGAGGAAGCCACGGCUAACCACGUGCCAGCAGCCGCCGUAA